This is a long non-coding RNA of Nannospalax galili (Upper Galilee mountains blind mole rat), 442 nucleotides long. RefSeq lists it as uncharacterized. The record is from RefSeq and is a predicted model, not a curated record. The transcript is spliced from 3 exons. Lineage: Eukaryota; Metazoa; Chordata; Mammalia; Rodentia; Spalacidae.
GGGGUGAUGAUGCACAGCGGGCAGUGGUACUGAGGUACAGCUCAGCUCCUGGUCAACCAUGGGUUAACAAAGGGAGCACCCAGCAUUCUCCGGCACACAUGGACUCAGGUGACACAGAAGGAAGACCCGGCCUGUCCGCAGGAGGAGGACUCUGGCCUGUCCGCAGGAGGAGGACCCGGCCUGUCCUCAGGAGGAGGACCUGGCCUGUCUGCAGGAGGAGGACCCGCCCUGUCCUCAGGAGGAGGACUCUGGCCCGCCCCCUUUUCUGUCUCUCAUUUUCUGCUAGCUAUGUUCUUGUGGCUCAGCUUCACAUUGCUAUGACAAAUGUCUCGGGUAAUCAGCGUAGGAAGAGAUCAGGUUCCCUGUCUUCUUGUUUCCAGAGGCCACAUUAUUGCUAUUCCCAGGUUUUAUUUUUGAAAAGAUCUGUCCUUGUUAAUUCUAG